UAGCUUCUCCAGCUUGAAUUGUGGGUUCAUAAGAAGAUCACUGAGGUUUUCAAAUCCAGAGUCUCCUAGUUGAUUUCCACUCAGGUCCAGUUCUCUCAGAUGUGAUGGGUUUGAUUUCAGAGCUGAAGUCAGAGCAGAACAUCCUUCAUCUGUCAUAUCACAGUAUCUUAAC
Molecule: long non-coding RNA, 172 nt
Organism: Carassius carassius (crucian carp)
Lineage: Eukaryota; Metazoa; Chordata; Actinopteri; Cypriniformes; Cyprinidae
Exons: 2
Source: RefSeq, a predicted model, not a curated record